Molecule: long non-coding RNA, 212 nt
Filed under: Gossypium barbadense (sea-island cotton)
Lineage: Eukaryota; Viridiplantae; Streptophyta; Magnoliopsida; Malvales; Malvaceae
Description: long non-coding RNA (GBAR_LNC009963)
Source: RNAcentral
UUUUUAUUAUAUACAUACAUGUAUUUUUAAUACAACAAACGAUCCAGAAACAGAUUUUAAAAAAGCAAAGAGAAAACAGUUCAUUUUUGAGUUGUAAUACAGGAAAAUACUUUUAAAAAUAAAGAGGAGAAAUUAUACCUGUGAUUUGCCUGGAAAGGGGAGAAAUUUAGAACCUCCAACCCCAUGUACGAUGGCGCGUGAGGCGCGUGAAC